Oncorhynchus tshawytscha (Chinook salmon) is the source of this 338-nucleotide long non-coding RNA. NCBI's taxonomy places the organism in Eukaryota, Metazoa, Chordata, Actinopteri, Salmoniformes, Salmonidae. The record is from Ensembl.
CUGGUUCUCCCUCCUCCUCCUCUCUAAUGUAUCUAUACUAGGCUGGUUCUCCCUCCUCCUCCUCUCUAAUGUAUCUAUACUAGACUGGUUUUCCCUCCUCCUCUUUAAUGUUGCAUUACUAGACUGGUUCUCCCUCCUCCUCUCUAAUGUAUCUAUACUAGGCUAGUUCUCCCUCUUCCUCCUCUCUAAUGUAUCUAUACUAGACUGGUUCUCCCUCCUCCUCCUCUCUAAUGUAGCUGUACUAUACUGGUUUUCCCUCCUCCUCUCUUAUGUAGCUGUACUAGACUGGUUCUCCCUCCUCCUCCUCUCUUAUGUAGCUGUACUAGACUGGUUCUCCC